RNAcentral lists this non-coding RNA (21 nucleotides) under Arabidopsis thaliana (thale cress). Lineage: Eukaryota; Viridiplantae; Streptophyta; Magnoliopsida; Brassicales; Brassicaceae. The record is from RNAcentral.
UGACCGAGAGAUGACUCCUGA